UGUCGAUGAAGAGCGCAGCCAACUGUGUGAAUUAAUGUGAAUUGCAUAAAGCUUCGAACAUCGACAUCUUGAACGCAUAUUGCGGCCACGGGUUAGCCUGUGGCCACGCCUGUCCGAGGGUCG
RNAcentral lists this ribosomal RNA (123 nucleotides) under Haplosplanchnus pachysoma. Its description in RNAcentral is "Haplosplanchnus pachysomus partial 5.8S ribosomal RNA". It matches the Rfam family "5.8S ribosomal RNA", at positions 33 to 154 of the family's 154-position model. Rfam says of the family: 5.8S ribosomal RNA (5.8S rRNA) is a component of the large subunit of the eukaryotic ribosome. Lineage: Eukaryota; Metazoa; Platyhelminthes; Trematoda; Plagiorchiida; Haplosplanchnidae. The record is from RNAcentral.